UACGUAGGCAGCGAGCGUUGUUCGGAAUUACUGGGCGUAAAGAGUGUGUAGGCGGUGCUCUAAGUUCGGUGUGAAAUCUCCUGCUUAACUGGGAGGGUGCGCCGGAAACUGAAGUGCUUGAGCGUGGGAGAGGAAAGCGGAAUUCCUGGUGUAGCGGUGAAAUGCGUAGAUAUCAGGAGGAACACCUGUGGUGUAGACGGCUUUCUGGACCAUAGCUGACGCUGAGACACGAAAGCGUGGGUAGCAAACAGG
RNAcentral lists this ribosomal RNA (252 nucleotides) under uncultured bacterium. RNAcentral describes it as "partial 16S ribosomal RNA". It matches the Rfam family "Bacterial small subunit ribosomal RNA", at positions 524 to 776 of the family's 1533-position model. The record is from RNAcentral.